RNAcentral lists this ribosomal RNA (300 nucleotides) under uncultured Gammaproteobacteria bacterium. Its description in RNAcentral is "bacterial SSU rRNA". It matches the Rfam family "Bacterial small subunit ribosomal RNA", at positions 114 to 416 of the family's 1533-position model. The record is from RNAcentral. Lineage: Bacteria; Pseudomonadati; Pseudomonadota; Gammaproteobacteria.
UGCUUGGGAAUUUGCCUUGAGGUGGGGACGAACAGUUGGAACGAACUGCUAAUACCGCAUGAUAGCUACGGCUUAAAGAAGGGCGUUCGGCUCUCGCCUUUAGUAGAAGCCCAACGUGGGAAUUAGGUAGUUGGUGAGGUAAAGGCUCACCAAGCCAACGAUCCCUAGCUGGUCUGAGAGGAUGAUCAGCCACACUGGAACUGAGACACGGUCCAGACUCCUACGGGAGGCAGCAGUGGGGAAGUAUUGCACAAUGGGGGAAACCCGUGAUGCAGCCAUGCCGCGUGUGUGAAGAAGGCC